CUUCAAGGGAGCCUUUCCUCCAGAGGAUGGCAAUCCGGGUGCAAAAUUGAAAGAGCAGGUUCGAGGAAGGGUUAAAAGUACUUUUCCCAACUCCUGUGUUUCAGAGACACGCUGGGCAUCCUUCGGAGGGGUGGGAAGGAUGACAAAAAAGGGAAUCCUGGCUACCGAUUGGCUAGCCUCUAGCAGCUGCAGUUGAGCUAAAGCGGCUGCUAAAGAGCAGUAUUGAUUUGAAGGGGAAAUGUGGAGGGAGUCCCUGAGAGAGGGAUCCAGUCAUUUCUGAGAAGAGCCAGCCUCUUCCAGGAAGAAAGGGGGUCUCCAUCUACCUGCCUGGCCCCUGACAUCCUUCUGUGAAUGAAGAGGAAGAUCCAGAAAAGCCAGCUUGGUGCUACAGUGAUUUAGAAAGGGAAGGGAAUCGCUUCUUCAGCGCAAGGUAUCUUGCCUUUUGCUGGUGCUGCUGUUCUUGCUGCUGCAGUUUCUGCUCCUCAGCUCUGCUGGCCAGCUGGUUGGUGUUAUUUGGGAAUGCAGCCAACUGAGGAUUGGAGAACUUUGCUUUGAAGUUUCAGACGAUGAUCCGUCUCCUAAAGUUGAAAUGGUGUGAAAAGGACUUCAGGGUUCAGCUGGAGUUACAGAGAAGGCACUAAUGAAAGGAAAUACUGAUG
This 659-nucleotide long non-coding RNA is filed under the name Ornithorhynchus anatinus (platypus). RNAcentral describes it as "lncRNA (ENSOANG00000033649.2)". The record is from RNAcentral. Lineage: Eukaryota; Metazoa; Chordata; Mammalia; Monotremata; Ornithorhynchidae.